ACGAGGAGCUUGCUCCUCUGACGUUAGCGGCGGACGGGUGAGUAACACGUGGAUAACCUACCUAUAAGACUGGGAUAACUUCGGGAAACCGGAGCUAAUACCGGAUAAUAUAUUGAACCGCAUGGUUCAAUAGUGAAAGACGGUUUUGCUGUCACUUAUAGAUGGAUCCGCGCCGCAUUAGCUAGUUGGUAAGGUAACGGCUUACCAAGGCAACGAUGCGUAGCCGACCUGAGAGGGUGAUCGGCCACACUGGAACUGAGACACGGUCCAGACUCCUACGGGAGGCAGCAGUAGGGAAUCUUCCGCAAUGGGCGAAAGCCUGACGGAGCAACGCCGCGUGAGUGAUGAAGGUCUUCGGAUCGUAAAACUCUGUUAUUAGGGAAGAACAAAUGUGUAAGUAACUAUGCACGUCUUGACGGUACCUAAUCAGAAAGCCACGGCUAACUACGUGCCAGCAGCCGCGGUAAUACGUAGGUGGCAAGCGUUAUCCGGAAUUAUUGGGCGUAAAGCGCGCGUAGGCGGUUUUUUAAGUCUGAUGUGAAAGCCCACGGCUCAACCGUGGAGGGUCAUUGGAAACUGAAAAACUUGAGUGCAGAAGAGGAAAGUGGAAUUCCAUGUGUAGCGGUGAAAUGCGCAGAGAUAUGGAGGAACACCAGUGGCGAAGGCGACUUUCUGGUCUGUAACUGACGCUGAUGUGCGAAAGCGUGGGGAUCAAA
This 716-nucleotide ribosomal RNA is filed under the name uncultured Staphylococcus sp. RNAcentral's name for it is "bacterial SSU rRNA". It matches the Rfam family "Bacterial small subunit ribosomal RNA", at positions 71 to 772 of the family's 1533-position model. Lineage: Bacteria; Bacillati; Bacillota; Bacilli; Caryophanales; Staphylococcaceae. The record is from RNAcentral.